This is a non-coding RNA of Vicia faba (fava bean), 312 nucleotides long. The record is from the annotation of a GenBank genome assembly. Lineage: Eukaryota; Viridiplantae; Streptophyta; Magnoliopsida; Fabales; Fabaceae.
AUGCAGAACCAACUACAUUCCAAAAUUGAAUCUAUCAGCUGGACUAGUGUGAAUACUGUUGUUAUUGAUGCAUUAGCCGGUAUUAACUUGCUGCCAUUGGUGUUGCUAUGUGAAGUCUGUGGAACAAAGAAGCAGAACGAUCGUGUGGAGAAUGAAGUUAUUCACAUGGCCCAAUAUAUAUGUAUAUAUAAUUGGAGUGUCAUUUUCAACACGCUUUUUGGCGUUACUACAAGUUUGAAUUGGAUGGAUGUUAUCACAAGAUUUGUUCUCAGAUUUUUGAAUGGUGCAAUUGGACCAACUAAGGUACUGUAA